GUCUGCACUUGUCGGGGAAGGAUGAGAAGCUUCGACUAAGGUUCGAUUCGAGCGCAGCGAGAAAGCGUUGCCGCAGGCAACGACCCGAAGGGCGAAGCGCGCAGCGCUGAGUCAUCCUUCCCCCACCACCA
This 131-nucleotide small RNA is filed under the name Salmonella enterica subsp. enterica serovar Hadar. Its description in RNAcentral is "RtT RNA". It matches the Rfam family "RtT RNA". Rfam says of the family: This family represents a bacterial cis-regulatory element known as RtT RNA. The exact function of RtT is unknown although it is thought that it may be involved in changing the cellular response in relation to amino acid starvation. Lineage: Bacteria; Pseudomonadati; Pseudomonadota; Gammaproteobacteria; Enterobacterales; Enterobacteriaceae. The record is from RNAcentral.